Molecule: long non-coding RNA, 2027 nt
Organism: Physeter macrocephalus (sperm whale)
Lineage: Eukaryota; Metazoa; Chordata; Mammalia; Artiodactyla; Physeteridae
Exons: 5
Source: RefSeq, a predicted model, not a curated record
UCUUCUUAUUUAUUUAUUUUUUAAACCAUCUCUUCUGAUAGAAUACAAUUAAUACAGUGUCUAAAACCGCAGUUCAGGCCAUUGGCUGUGGUGGUGGUGGAAGGGGAGAGCGUGUGGAAUGGCCAGUGGCUGGAGCACGUCCUGGACGGAGGAAGGAUGGACCUGGAGUCACAUCUCAGGAAGAAGGAAGAUUCACUACGUCUAGAAAUGCAGAGCCUUGCGAAUACUGUGCCGUAAAGCCCAGCAUCCGGAGCACGGCCCGGCUUGAGGCGCGUAAAUCUGCUUUCCAGAGCCCUGGCACGUCACCUGCUCCCAGAUUCGGAAAAGGGGGUCCACCUCCCCUGGAAGCCGUGGGGUGGCUCUGAAAGCCCUGGCAAUUUCCUUCAGCCUCUUGGAGCGUAAACUGCGUGAGCCUAGAAACUACCCUUGCACCAUCUGGCUCUCAUGUAUUCUCUCCUGUCUUGCCGUGGAUCUCGACCCCGCCUUCUGUCUGUCUACCUUUGCCGCUGUAGAGACGGUUCUCCUUGGAGAAGUUGUAAACUGGAAAAGUUAGACCUUGAACCCAGACCUCUCUGACUCGGGUUCCAUUGUUCUUGCCCUGUACCAUGUGCAUGCCCUCUGAGCUCCCACCUCCCCGCUCAGCUACUCACCCCUGGGUGAAGAAAGCCCCAUCUUCAUUUUAUAGACAGUUGACGGGACCCUGGUUAUCAGCUCUCUGUCCCCCACUAACUGGAGCCGCAGCAGCAGCAGGGCCUGGGCCUGACUGUCCCUGGGCCUCCAGCACACGGCAUCGCGUGGGAGCGGCUGCUGUGCCUCGAGGUCUCUGGCCGUGCUCAAGGUGCACUGCUGUAGGGGAGAGCCAGGCCUGUCACUUCGUCUUCCUUAACUGUAAUAACUGCAGCCAAACAUCAUCAGUCUGACUGGUUAGCGAUGAACGGUAGACUAAAGAAGGAGAAAGGCUGGCCACGCACAUCACAUUCGAGAAACCCACCGUUUAUCUGCUCUAACUGCUUCUUACUGUGUGACCGAUAUUGCCCAGACGUUACUCAAAUUCCUGUUUGAAUGAAUAGACGAAAACAGUCUUUAGUAACUGUAUGUGUCAGAAUUCUCCACAGAAACAGAACCCAUAGGAGAACUGGUGGUUUAGAUCCAGUGUAAGACCCGCAGGCUUGAGACCUAGAAAGAGCUGAGUUUUUAGUUCAGUUUGAGUCCAGAGGCAGGAAAAAAAAAAAAGGAAUCCCAGUUCAAAGGCCACCAGGCGGGAGUUUCCUCUUACUCAGCCUUUUUGUUCUAUUCAAGCCUUCAAAUGAAGCCCACCCACGGGAGGGAGGACAAUCUACUUUAUUCAUCUUCCGAAUUAAAUGUUAAUCUCAUCCCAAAACACCCUUCCAGAAACAGAAUAAGGCCUGAUCCAAUAUCGGGGCACCCUGUAGCCCAGUCUUAUUGACACGUAAAAGUCGCCUUCACAGGAAGCAAAUCAAUAGAUUUUUGUAUAAUGAAUAAUUUUUAAGUGGUUUACAGAGCUUGAGCCUAUUUUGUUCUGUUUUACAUUGUCUAAAUGUUCUGCAAUUUUAUCUUCACCAUGAGUGAACCUACUUCUCAGACCAUUGAAAAGGGGGAGAGAAAGGGAGGGAAGGUGAGUAGCGAGCGGCGAGGGGCACACAUGCCUCUGUAAGGGAUCCCCCCCUUGUUUGCAUGAGAAUGUGAGUCGGCUAGUCCCGAGACCAGCUUGGCAGAUGGAGGCUACCUGGCUUUCAUGAGAUUUGGAGGCCGUGUUUCGUCUUCAGGAACCAGAAUUGAGAAAGCGUGGGGGACUUCAGGAGAUAAUUAAGAGGCAGCAAAACGGAUUUUAUCUCCGACACUCUGGGCUAUUUCUAAUACUGGUUUUACUGAGAACAAGCCACUUGAAUAACGCAUUAAUUAAUUACUGAUAGGUAUAUUUGAUUGAACGUUGCUUCUGUGAUAAAAUAAAGUGCUCACCAUGUAUUAUUUACUAUACUAGAUAUUUUAUAUGUUUUCUUAUUUGA